AUGGAUAUUCCUGUAAUUCCUGAAACUUUUCAGGAAGUGAUAAAACAUGCUAGUAUAGACAGUAACCACAUGGUGGAUAUUAGAGAUAUUCUAUUUAUUUUGGAUGAACUACAGCACCAGUAUGAAGAUUUUUGAAAUCCUUUUGUGCUCAUUCAUACUUGUUCAUCAAGACCUUUGAGUCCUCAAGGGCCGAAUUUACCUCUAAACUGAAAAAUGGAAAGUAAAGUACCUUUAUUCUGCCAGGUAUUUUUUUCAAAAAUAGUUUCUAAAGGCUUCU
RNAcentral lists this long non-coding RNA (277 nucleotides) under Lynx canadensis (Canada lynx). RNAcentral's name for it is "lncRNA (ENSLCNG00005022481.1)". Lineage: Eukaryota; Metazoa; Chordata; Mammalia; Carnivora; Felidae. The record is from RNAcentral.